ACCACAUCCAGAGAAUCAUGACGCUGGAAGAAUCGGUUCAGCAUGUGGUGAUGGAAGCCAUCCAGGAGCUCAUGACCAAAGACACUCCUGACUCCCUGUCACCAGAGACAUAUGGCAACUUUGACAGCCAGAUGGAGUCUCACUCUGUCACCCAGGCUGGAGUGCAGUGGCACGAUCUCGGCUCACUGCAACC
Molecule: small RNA, 193 nt
Filed under: Pongo abelii (Sumatran orangutan)
Lineage: Eukaryota; Metazoa; Chordata; Mammalia; Primates; Hominidae
Description: processed transcript
Source: RNAcentral